This 443-nucleotide ribosomal RNA is filed under the name uncultured bacterium. Its description in RNAcentral is "partial 16S ribosomal RNA". It matches the Rfam family "Bacterial small subunit ribosomal RNA", at positions 338 to 795 of the family's 1533-position model. The record is from RNAcentral.
CCUACGUGAGGCAGCAGUGGGGAAUAUUGGGCAAUGGAGGAAACUCUGACCCAGCAACGCCGCGUGAAUGAUGCAGGUCUUCGGAUUGUAAAGUUCUUUUCUAAGGGAAGAAGAAAGUGACGGUACCUUAGGAAUAAGCCUCGGCUAACUACGUGCCAGCAGCCGCGGUAAUACGUAGGAGGCAAGCGUUAUCCGGAAUGACUGGUCGUAAAGGGUGCGUAGGUGGUUUGACAAGUUGGUAGCGUAACUCCGGGGCUCAACCUCGGCACUACUACCAAAACUGUCGGACUUGAGUGCAGGAGGGGCAAAUGGAAUUCCUAGUGUAGCGGUGGAAUGCGUAGAUAUUAGGAGGAACACCAGUGGCGAAGGCAGCUUACUAAACUGUGACUGACAUUGAUGCUCGAAAGUGUGGGUAUCAAACAGGAUUAGAUACCCUAGUAGUC